This 686-nucleotide long non-coding RNA is filed under the name Cricetulus griseus (Chinese hamster). RNAcentral's name for it is "lncRNA (ENSCGRG00015031290.1)". The record is from RNAcentral. Lineage: Eukaryota; Metazoa; Chordata; Mammalia; Rodentia; Cricetidae.
CUCAGGCAGCUUUUGGUGGAAAGAUUUAUCGUAACAGACACAAGGUAGAGUCAUCUGAAAUAAGAGAACUUCAUUUGAGAAAAUGCCUCCAUAAGUUUGGGUUAUAUUCAGGACUUUAUGGCAUUUUCUCAAUUAGUGACAAAUACAGAGGGAUUCAGCUCAUUUUGGAUAGUGUCACCCAUGGACUGGUGCUUCUGGGUGCUAUGAGAAUCCAGGCUGAGCAAGCCUUGAGGAACAAGUCAGUAAGCAGCACUCCUCUACAGCCUCUGCAUCCAUGUCUGCCUCCAGGUUCCUAGCCUGUUUGAGUUCCUUCCCUGAGUUUCUUCAGUGUUGGACUAUAUUAUGGAAAUGUAAGACGGGCUGAGUUCCUGGUGGCUUUCCCCUUGAUUUUAUUUCAAGCACCUGUUCUUCAUGAGAAGGCAUAACUUGAAGCUGAGCAAGGCAGUAUUAUGAGAAAAGUUGGUGUCUGGCCUCCUUGGACCCUUCCCUGUGCAGCCUACAACCCUUUGUGAGCCUGCCAGUCAGAAAGACAAUGGAAGCAGAAUAUUUGAAAGCUCCACGCUGGACUCUAGCAGAGUGUGUUGAUCAGCAGUGUGAUCUGAGGCAGGUGACUCCAUUUCUCUUUGAGGCAACAUUCCUUAUCUGCAAUAGAAUGGUAGUGACACCUGUCAUCUACAGAAUGCAGG